CAUUCACCAGCUGAUUGUGCAAGCUCACACUCCCUAAAACACACUCCCUAAAACGACUAGGAAUGAAACUUUUUAAAAAGAUUAUGCUGUGAAGUAAAGAUUUGGGAGUUGCUUUGGCAGACGGUUGUGUACAAAUUUUGUUUUGAAAAUACCUCAAUUUAUUUCCUGCUGUCUACCAAAUUUCCUCCUCCCCUCCCCCCAUUUCCUUUUGACCACAUCUGCUUCUCCGGGAGACAGGCAGGAGGUUCAGACCCAUCCUCCUGGUUUCCUAAGCCUCAUGACUACCCAGCGCCUGACACAAUCAACUCCAUGCCAAGAAAACUGUUCUGCGUCUUCCCCAUUCUCUCCUAGGGCAUUGGAGAAGGAAGUAACGUGAGGGUUCCGAGCCAGAGAACAGUGAUGACUCCUGAGGAUGAGAACUGCAGAAAACCUGUUGCUGAUUAUGAAAAUGACUUUACUAUAUCAAUGUAAACUCAUCAGGAAGUCAAAGGAACAUUUGGGAGCUGGAGAGGAAAGAAGUUCAUGACUGCAAGGAAUAGAAUAAAAAGGCCCAGCCCUGAAAUUCGGACCAGCACUGGGUAUACAUCCACAGUAAGGACUUUUGAAGAAUAGGGUGUGUCUUACUGGAGAGAGAGCUACAGAGAGGUCAGGCAAAUGACUUUGAGUUUAGGAUUUCCUUAGGCAAAUGUGGGGACCGCAGGGUGUGUGUGUGUGUGUGUGGGGGGCAGAUAGGAAUCAAAUCCCCAGGAACCUUGAAAUAGACCUAAGGCCCAAGCUUGCUGUCUGUGUACCCAAAGCUUUCUGGGACAGGUGUCUGUACACAACCUUGCCCCAGCUCUGGAAUUUGCAGGUGCCUGUGUAAGAUAUAUACACAGAG
Nannospalax galili (Upper Galilee mountains blind mole rat) is the source of this 877-nucleotide long non-coding RNA. RefSeq lists it as uncharacterized. The transcript has 3 exons. The record is from RefSeq and is a predicted model, not a curated record. NCBI's taxonomy places the organism in Eukaryota, Metazoa, Chordata, Mammalia, Rodentia, Spalacidae.